RNAcentral lists this ribosomal RNA (442 nucleotides) under uncultured bacterium. Its description in RNAcentral is "bacterial SSU rRNA". It matches the Rfam family "Bacterial small subunit ribosomal RNA", at positions 8 to 446 of the family's 1533-position model. The record is from RNAcentral.
AGAGUUUGAUCCUGGCUCAGAGUGAACGCUGGCGGCAUGCCUAACACAUGCAAGUCGAACGGCAGCACAGCAGUAGCAAUACUGUGGGUGGCGAGUGGCGGACGGGUGAGGAAUACAUCGGAAUUUGCCCUGUCGUGGGGGAUAACGUAGGGAAACUUACGCUAAUACCGCAUACGACCUAACGGUGAAAGCGGGGGAUCGCAAGACCUCGCGCGGUUGGAGAAGCCGAUGUCAGAUUAGCUAGUUGGCGGGGUAAUGGCCCACCAAGGCGACGAUCUGUAGCUGGUCUGAGAGGAUGAUCAGCCACACUGGGACUGAGACACGGCCCAGACUCCUACGGGAGGCAGCAGUGGGGAAUAUUGGACAAUGGGCGCAAGCCUGAUCCAGCAAUGCCGCGUGUGUGAAGAAGGCCUUCGGGUUGUAAAGCACUUUUAUCUGGAAC